This 601-nucleotide long non-coding RNA is filed under the name Homo sapiens (human). RNAcentral's name for it is "non-protein coding lnc-THPO-2:1". The record is from RNAcentral. Lineage: Eukaryota; Metazoa; Chordata; Mammalia; Primates; Hominidae.
GAGGACUGGGAAUAAACCUCCUGCGUCCAUGCCACACUCGUCUAGACAUGGAGGAAGGCGUCUUGGCUUCUUGGCCACUGACCACUUUCCCCAGCCAGUCUGACUGCCCAGAUUCAGGCAUCAUCUCGGCCACUCCCACAGGGCACAGCUUCUUGCAUCCCCUCUCCAAGUGAUCCUCUUGCCUAGAUUGCGCUUUGUCCCAGUGAAUACCCUCAGGGACCCUUUCCUUCACCCAUGCCCUGACUCUGUGUGGUACUCCCUGGGACAGCCUGUCGUAUCAGCGUGGUCCACUGGCCAGGCAGGCAGUGGGUGUGUGCACUGGGGGUCCAGCAGGUCCUCUUCCCACAGCCCAGCAGUGGAUGUCCCGGGGCUUGAACACCAGCAUCUUGCUCCAGUACCUGGCCUGGGUCACCUACCCUGUUGUCCUCAUCACUUUCUCAGCCGGAUUCACACAGAUCCUGGCCCCUCAGGCUGUCGGCUCUGGCAUCCCUGAGAUGAAGACCAUCUUGCGGGGAGUGGUGCUGAAAGAAUACCUCACACUCAAGACCUUUAUAGCUAAGGUCAUUGGGCUGACCUGCGCCCUAGGCAGCGGGAUGCCGCU